GGCUCAGGACGAACGCUGGCGGCGUGCUUAACACAUGCAAGUCGAGCGGUAAGGCCCUUCGGGGUACACGAGCGGCGAACGGGUGAGUAACACGUGAGCAAUCUGCCCUUCACUUUGGGAUAACCACCGGAAACGGUGGCUAAUACCGAAUACGACCACUUCCUGCAUGGGAUGGUGGUGGAAAGUUCCGGCGGUGGAGGAUGAGCUUGCGGCCUAUCAGCUUGUUGGUGGGGUAAUGGCCUACCAAGGCAACGACGGGUAGCCGGCCUGAGAGGGUGACCGGCCACACUGGGACUGAGACACGGCCCAGACUCCUACGGGAGGCAGCAGUGGGGAAUAUUGGACAAUGGGCGAAAGCCUGAUCCAGCAACGCCGCGUGAGGGAUGACGGCCUUCGGGUUGUAAACCUCUUUCAGUAGGGACGAAGCGCAAGUGACGGUACCUACAGAAGAAGCACCGGCCAACUACGUGCCAGCAGCCGCGGUAAUACGUAGGGUGCGAGCGUUGUCCGGAAUUAUUGGGCGUAAAGGGCUCGUAGGCGGUUUGUCGCGUCGGGAGUGAAAACACGGGGCUUAACCCCGUGCCUGCUUCCGAUACGGGCAGACUAGAGGUAUGCAGGGGAGAACGGAAUUCCUGGUGUAGCGGUGAAAUGCGCAGAUAUCAGGAGGAACACCGGUGGCGAAGGCGGUUCUCUGGGCAUUACCUGACGCUGAGGAGCGAAAGUGUGGGGAGCGAACAGGAUUAGAUACCCUGGUAGUCCACACCGUAAACGUUGGGCGCUAGGUGUGGGACUCAUUCCACGAGUUCCGUGCCGCAGCUAACGCAUUAAGCGCCCCGCCCGGGGAGUACGGCCGCAAGGCUAAAACUUAAAG
RNAcentral lists this ribosomal RNA (871 nucleotides) under uncultured bacterium. RNAcentral's name for it is "bacterial SSU rRNA". It matches the Rfam family "Bacterial small subunit ribosomal RNA", at positions 21 to 906 of the family's 1533-position model. The record is from RNAcentral.